GUAUACUAUUGAGGCAAGUAUACAAAAUAUAAAAAUGUUAAAUUAUCUAAAAAAUGAAGUUAAAUAAGUUUUAUAAGGUGAAAUUGUAAAAUUAUUAAAUUCUUUUGGUAAUUUUUAGAAAAUUUUGUAGAAAACUAGGAUUAGAUACCCUAUUAUUAAAAAAUUAUUUUUAUUAGGUAGUAAUGAAAUUUCUGAAACCUAAAGAAUUUGGCGGUACUUUAAAUAAUUGGAGGAACUUGUUAUUUAAUCGACAACCCACGACACAUCUUACCUAAAUUGAAUUUGUAUAUCGUCGUCUUAGAUAAUAUUUAUAAGUCAUAAUCAAGAAUAAUUUUAUUUCGUAAGUCAGAUCAAGGUGCAGUAUAUUUAGGUUAUAAUGAGUUACAAUAUAAUUAAUAUAUUACGGAUAAUAUUAGAAAAAUAGUUUUAAGGUGGAUUCAAAAGUAAAUUAAUUACAAUUUGGUGA
This 466-nucleotide ribosomal RNA is filed under the name Caraboctonus keyserlingi. RNAcentral describes it as "partial 12S ribosomal RNA". Lineage: Eukaryota; Metazoa; Arthropoda; Arachnida; Scorpiones; Caraboctonidae. The record is from RNAcentral.